Molecule: ribosomal RNA, 253 nt
Filed under: uncultured bacterium
Lineage: Bacteria
Description: partial 16S ribosomal RNA
Rfam family: Bacterial small subunit ribosomal RNA
Source: RNAcentral
UACGUAGGGUGCAAGCGUUGUCCGGAAUUAUUGGGCGUAAAGAGCUCGUAGGCGGUUUGUUGCGUCGGCUGUGAAAUCCCGAGGCUCAACCCCGGGCCUGCAGUCGAUACGGGCAGACUAGAGUGCGGUAGGGGAGACUGGAAUUCCUGGUGUAGCGGUGAAAUGCGCAGAUAUCAGGAGGAACACCGGCGGCGAAGGCGGGUCUCUGGGCCGUAACUGACGCUGAGGAGCGAAAGCGUGGGGAGCGAACAGG